UACGGAGGGGGCUAGCGUUGUUCGGAAUUACUGGGCGUAAAGCGCGCGUAGGCGGACCUGCAAGUCGGGGGUGAAAGCCCGAGGCUCAACCUCGGAACUGCCUUCGAUACUGCGGGUCUCGAGUCCGGGAGAGGUGAGUGGAAUUCCUAGUGUAGAGGUGAAAUUCGUAGAUAUUAGGAAGAACACCAGUGGCGAAGGCGGCUCACUGGCCCGGUACUGACGCUGAGGCGCGAAAGCGUGGGGAGCAAC
Molecule: ribosomal RNA, 249 nt
Filed under: uncultured bacterium
Lineage: Bacteria
Description: partial 16S ribosomal RNA
Rfam family: Bacterial small subunit ribosomal RNA
Source: RNAcentral